This is a long non-coding RNA of Triticum dicoccoides, 2410 nucleotides long. RefSeq lists it as uncharacterized. Lineage: Eukaryota; Viridiplantae; Streptophyta; Magnoliopsida; Poales; Poaceae. The transcript has 7 exons. The record is from RefSeq and is a predicted model, not a curated record.
GCUUUUCCUUGGGCAUAGCACCACAUUUGCGGCAGCACACCGGAGUCAAUUUGGUUGACUAGCAAUAGAGCAAAGAGUAAAAUCAGGUCUUCACCUAUGGAGGAGGUAGAUACUGACGGAGUGCAUAUGACCAGGUGUCCUCCAGGUUCUGCAUCAUCAGUGUGUACCUCUAGAUUCUGCAUCAUUAGUGAGCAACUUACCUAAGCAACCGAGCCCAAUCAACAAUUGGUAGAAGUAGUUAUGAGAUGAGGCAGAGGAGAGCAGAGAGGACCGGAGAAGGAGUUGCGGACCUCGCCAACAAGGCCGUGACCCUACAUCACUAAAAAAAUGCGCCGUAUUUGUUUCUCAUGCUUUACCAUGGCAUGUUCUUAUUAGUUCAGGUUGGUCUCUCCGGUUCUUUUCGCCAAUGGCUUGAUGUACGCACUGACAACCUCUUACUGGAAGGAUUCGGCAUGCCUCUGUUCGAGAGAUGGGAUAUGAAGAAAUGGCGUUCUUGUAUGUUAUAUCAUUUGAAGCAAUGACACUUUAUUUUGGUUCAUAUUUCUUUACAGGUUGUUGUAUGCAGAGUUUAUGAGGUUGCACUGCACCAUCAAACUAUGCUUCAUGUUAAGCAACAUCCAGAACUGCCAUUAUAUAUUUAAUGUAGUAGGUUGAUGCAACUUUGUAACCAGUCAUGGAUUUAAAAUAGGCUUUCUACCUCUUUAUUUUGGUCGGCAUGUUUUGGCACGUGUUUUUGUCAUUGAUUUGCUAUAUAUUAAUUACAUUUGAGUAGACUGUUGACUGAGAAAGCGUGAAGAUGUUGUGUUUUGAUUUAUGAGGACUAAUAGAUAGUUUUCCCUCGGGUUUAUUUAUUUUCUCUCCACACUUUUAAUUCUACAUAAAAGUACAUUCUAUUGUUAUUUGUUUACUAAUGCAAUAUAUGUACCCUUAUUUGUCUCAACUUUAUCAAUUUUAGUUUGUGUUUUCUGUGGCGCAGAACACAGUUAAAGGCAGUGCUGUGUCAAAGAUGCGUGCCAAAUAAUUAUUAAUUAAGCUGAUUGAAAUAUCAAACUUUGGGUGCAGUCUUCUUGGUCCUGUAUAUAUGACUGGCUGAUACAAAAUCUGGACAGUUCUGUCAUGACUUUUAUCUUCACAUCUUCCUUUCAUGAAUUUACUAACGCUUUUUUUUACUUGAUCUUAUGUGCAGCUACGUUUAUUCAGGUUAUAGGGCCUCUAUAGGAAACACAAUAAUCUGAAUUCCUAAGUAAAUAUAACAGCUCCAGUGUGUUUUUCUUGCUUAAAUUUGCCAUCCUGAAUUCCUAAGUAUUUAUAACAACUCAAGUGUAUCCAUAUAUGACAUUAGAUUUUCUUCUUACUUGGAUCUUUUGCCAUGUAAAGUAGGUUGUCUUCAUGUCGCUGUUGUGCUACUGCUAGGCAUGAACAGAAUGGCCUCCUCUUAUUGCGAACCACACUGAUGUUGGCUUCUGAUUUCUGCUGUAAUGGAUUAUUUACUAUGGACAAAUAUGGCAAUAUUCAUUUGGAGCACCGUUUCUUGAGGAUAUGUCUCUUCUACAGGGGGAGAUCCCCGGCCUCUGCAUCAGAACGAUGCAUACAUGAUAUCGGUACUUUUUAUAACUGAUCCAUGUUCUUGGAAUACUUUAUUUUAUUUCAUUAAUAAGCAAGGGUGGAUGGUGGCUUGCAGUGUGCUUGUACUAAAAAAGGUGUUCUGCCAUCCCAUGGAUUCUAGCACAGCUUGAAGCGGCCAAGUCAAGGAGGACCUAUAAAAUUAUUUGAUCGUCUCUCGCUCUCUCUCUCUUUCUAUAUAUAUAUAUAUAUAUGUUGUCUGGUGCAUGUAUGGCUGAGAAUAGGGAGAGAGAGCAAGUUUAAUUUUCCUUGGGCAUUCAAAUUCUUAUUUUGCUUUUCUCAGAUUUUUGGCUGGGUGUUUAAACAUACUUGCACACACUGGUUUCAGAUUUCAGUGUAAACUACAAAUAGGGGAAAAAUAUAGUGAUUUUUCCAAAUUAGAAAUAGGGAGAAGGAAAACUAUUGAUUAUUGUGUGCAUGUAUAACUAAUUGGAUUACUGGUUGAACGAGUGCAGACUUGAGAAAGAAGAGAUAGGGCCAAUAAAAUUAGGUGGGAGGUAUGCUGAUGGGUUCAUUUUAGCAUUACUAAUCGACCGCUUGGCAUCCUGAAGCUGAAAGAUUAGCGAGACUGACUAAAUUCUAAACAUGUUCCAUAGCUGGAGGAAGAAGUUGCGAGGCUUGAAACUCUGUGAAGGGCUCAGGGACAGCAGUGAGGACAAUGCCUCUUUAGUUGUAAUUGUGAUACUCUUGAUGUGCAAUUAAACACUCCUGUGAUACUCCUUAUGCUAAAAUGUUGGUUGUUAGUACAGAGGUGGUGACAUUAUUUGGUUCUCUGGUAUUGAUUUCA